UUUGAAAUGUCCCCUAUUUGACCUUUUUGUUUGACACUGAUAAAAAAUGAUAUAAGUUUGCUACUUAUCCUGGACUUGAAGCCUCCUGCUUGGGAGAUAAAGGUCACCUGAGGAUAUUGCCAUAUGUUUGUAUGGAAAACGUUCAUAAGUAAAUUUCAGUGGGUAAGUGGCUGAAAUUAAUGUCAUUUUUUUAAAGUCAGAAGAUGCUGAUUAAAGGAUUGCAGGGUGACUCAUUUCUUGCUCUUUUGAAAUUCAUCUAAUUUCUCUGACUUCAGAUCCUUUGUAAUUGCUCAUGGGUAGUGUAAUGUUUCAUGAAGCUAGCAAUUAGAUCACAGGAUUGAAACACAGAUAGGGAACUUCAUCUUCUAUAAAACCAUUGUGUCAUCAUUAUUGUUGUUAGACAGACAGAAGGAAUAACAUAUUACUGCGAUACUAAUAUGUCUUGCUUACCAGUUUUAUAGAGUUUAAGGCUAGGCUAACAAUCCCUUGUUGAAGAAACGGAAACUGAAGAGCCAUACUCAGCAAAUGCUUUGGAAGUUUUUAUUCUGGUGUGAAAUGUGAGCAAUAAUUACUUCCUGCACUGCAAAGUUAUUGAGAAGUUUCAAGGCAUACAGUUCUGGGUGAUGAGAAGCAAAACUGAAUGAGUAGAAGAAAUGUGAUCAGAAAAACAAUGAGAGCAUGCCUUGAUCUGUUUGCAGAGAAAAGGAAGAGAGCAGUUCAGAGAAGAGUAUGA
This 733-nucleotide long non-coding RNA is filed under the name Anas platyrhynchos platyrhynchos (common mallard). Its description in RNAcentral is "lncRNA (ENSAPLG00000017633.1)". The record is from RNAcentral. Lineage: Eukaryota; Metazoa; Chordata; Aves; Anseriformes; Anatidae.